This 478-nucleotide ribosomal RNA is filed under the name uncultured bacterium. RNAcentral describes it as "partial 16S ribosomal RNA". It matches the Rfam family "Bacterial small subunit ribosomal RNA", at positions 28 to 523 of the family's 1533-position model. The record is from RNAcentral.
GACGAACGCUGGCGGCGUGCUUAACACAUGCAAGUCGAACGGUAAGGCCCCUCGGGGUACACGAGUGGCGGACGGGUGAGUAACACGUGGGUGAUCUGCCCUGCACUUCGGGAUAAGCCUGGGAAACUGGGUCUAAUACCGGAUAGGACCACUGCCUGCAUGGGUGGUGGUGGAAAGCGCUUGCGGUGUGGGAUGGGCCCGCGGCCUAUCAGCUUGUGGGUGUGGUGAUGGCCUCCCAAGGCGACGACGGGUAGCCGGCCUGCGAGGGUGACCGGCCACACUGCGACUGAGAUACGGCCCAGCCUCCUACGGGAGGCAGCAGUGGGGAAUAUUGCACAAUGGGCGCAAUCCUUAUGAAGCAACUCCGCGUGAGGGAUGACUGCCUUCGGUUUGUAAACCUCUUUCAGCACCGACGAAGCGCAAGUGACGGUAGGUGCAGAAGAAGGACCGGCCAUCUACGUGCCAGCCGCCGCAGUAA